This 61-nucleotide transfer RNA is filed under the name Stenatkina angustata. RNAcentral describes it as "tRNA-Cys". The record is from RNAcentral. RNAcentral also lists the same sequence under 1 other name. Lineage: Eukaryota; Metazoa; Arthropoda; Insecta; Hemiptera; Cicadellidae.
AAUCUUAUAGUUUAAAAAAAACAUUAAAUUGCAAAUUUAAAAUUGAAUAAAUCUAAGAUUU